RNAcentral lists this ribosomal RNA (465 nucleotides) under uncultured bacterium. RNAcentral's name for it is "partial 16S ribosomal RNA". It matches the Rfam family "Bacterial small subunit ribosomal RNA", at positions 338 to 795 of the family's 1533-position model. The record is from RNAcentral.
CCUACGGGAGGCAGCAGUAGGGAAUCUUCCACAAUGGGCGAAAGCCUGAUGGAGCAACGCCGCGUGGGUGAAGAAGGUCUUCGGAUCGUAAAACCCUGUUGUUAGAGAAGAAAGUGCGUGAGAGUAACUGUUCACGUUUCGACGGUAUCUAACCAGAAAGCCACGGCUAACUACGUGCCAGCAGCCGCGGUAAUACGUAGGUGGCAAGCGUUAUCCGGAUUUAUUGGGCGUAAAGGGAACGCAGGCGGUCUUUUAAGUCUGAUGUGAAAGCUUUGGGCUUAACCGGAGUAGUGCAUUGGAAACUGGGAGACUGGAGUGCAGAAGAGGAGAGUGGAACUCCAUGUGUAGCGGUGAAAUGCGUAGAUAUAUGGAAGAACACCAGUGGCGAAAGCGGCUCUCUGGUCUGUAACUGACGCUGAGGUUCGAAAGCGUGGGUAGCAAACAGGAUUAGAUACCCCAGUAGUC